Molecule: non-coding RNA, 224 nt
Organism: Cinara cedri
Lineage: Eukaryota; Metazoa; Arthropoda; Insecta; Hemiptera; Aphididae
Source: the annotation of a GenBank genome assembly
AAUAAGCUUAAUUUAAUUACUGACACCAGAAUUGGAUUAAAGAGGAACUGACGAGCACCAUAUCUCUACAGGGUGUACAGCAAAACAUUUUUUCAAAUUGUUUAUAAAACGUUCAUUUUUCACGUAUUGUUCAUAUUCUCGAUCGAAUACGCGUGUAGGUACGCAUUUCAGGUUUAUGUUUUAACGCCUGUCCACGACAAAUUUUUGAUCUCGCUAUUGCUAAA